UGCCCGUACCGCAAACCGACACAGGUAGUCAAGAUGAGAAUUCUAAGGUGAGCGAGCGAACUCUCGUUAAGGAACUCGGCAAAAUGACCCCGUAACUUCGGGAGAAGGGGUGCUCUUUAGGGUUCACGCCCAGGAGAGCCGCAGUGAAUAGGCCCAAGCGACUGUUUAUCAAAAACACAGGUCUCUGCUAAACCGUAAGGUGAUGUAUAGGGGCUGACGCCUGCCCGGUGCUGGAAGGUUAAGAGGAGUGGUUAGCUUCUGCGAAGCUACGAAUCGAAGCCCCAGUAAACGGCGGCCGUAACUAUAACGGUCCUAAGGUAGCGAAAUUCCUUGUCGGGUAAGUUCCGACCCGCACGAAAGGCGUAACGAUUUGGGCACUGUCUCAACGAGAGACUCGGUGAAAUCAUAGUACCUGUGAAGAUGCAGGUUACCCGCGACAGGACGGAAAGACCCCGUGGAGCUUUACUGUAGUCUGAUAUUGAAAUUCGGUACAGCUUGUACAGGAUAGGUAGGAGCCUUAGAUACGUGAGCGCUAGCUUACGUGGAGGCGUUGGUGGGAUACUACCCUCGCUGUAUUGGAUUUCUAACCCGCACCAUUAAUCAUGGUGGGAGACAGUGUCAGAUGGACAGUUUGACUGGGGCGGUCGCCUCCUAAAGAGUAACGGAGGCGCUCAAAGGUUUCCUCAGAAUGGUUGGAAAUCAUUCAUAGAGUGUAAAGGCACAAGGAAGCUUGACUGCGAGACUUACAAGUCGAGCAGGGUCGAAAGACGGACUUAGUGAUCCGGUGGUUCCGCAUGGAAGGGCCAUCGCUCAACGGAUAAAAGCUACCCCGGGGAUAACAGGCUUAUCUCCCCCAAGAGUUCACAUCGACGGGGAGGUUUGGCACCUCGAUGUCGGCUCAUCGCAUCCUGGGGCUGUAGUCGGUCCCAAGGGUUGGGCUGUUCGCCCAUUAAAGCGGUACGCGAGCUGGGUUCAGAACGUCGUGAGACAGUUCGGUCCCUAUCCGUCGUGGGCGUAGGAAAUUUGAGAGGAGCUGUCCUUAGUACGAGAGGACCGGGAUGGACAUACCUCUGGUGUACCAGUUGUCGUGCCAACGGCAUCGCUGGGUAGCUAUGUAUGGACGGGAUAAGUGCUGAAAGCAUCUAAGCAUGAAGCCCCCCUCAAGAUGAGAUUUCCCAACUUCGGUUAUAAGAUCCCUCAAAGAUGAUGAGGUUAAUAGGUUCGAGGUGGAAGCAUAGCGAUAUGUGGAGCUGACGAAUACUAAUCGAUCGAAGACUUAAUCAA
RNAcentral lists this ribosomal RNA (1284 nucleotides) under Staphylococcus ureilyticus. Its description in RNAcentral is "partial 23S ribosomal RNA". It matches the Rfam family "Bacterial large subunit ribosomal RNA", at positions 1639 to 2925 of the family's 2925-position model. Lineage: Bacteria; Bacillati; Bacillota; Bacilli; Caryophanales; Staphylococcaceae. The record is from RNAcentral.